RNAcentral lists this ribosomal RNA (392 nucleotides) under uncultured Gammaproteobacteria bacterium. Its description in RNAcentral is "bacterial SSU rRNA". It matches the Rfam family "Bacterial small subunit ribosomal RNA", at positions 370 to 779 of the family's 1533-position model. The record is from RNAcentral. Lineage: Bacteria; Pseudomonadati; Pseudomonadota; Gammaproteobacteria.
AAUGGAGGAAACUCUGAUGCAGCGAUGCCGCGUGAGUGAAGAAGGCCUUUGGGUUGUAAAGCUCUUUCGUCGGGGAAGAAAAUGACUGUACCCGAAUAAGAAGGUCCGGCUAACUUCGUGCCAGCAGCCGCGGUAAUACGAAGGGACCUAGCGUAGUUCGGAAUUACUGGGCUUAAAGAGUUCGUAGGUGGUUGAAAAAGUUGGUGGUGAAAUCCCAGAGCUUAACUCUGGAACUGCCAUCAAAACUUUUCAGCUAGAGUAUGAUAGAGGAAAGCAGAAUUUCUAGUGUAGAGGUGAAAUUCGUAGAUAUUAGAAAGAAUACCAAUUGCGAAGGCAGCUUUCUGGAUCAUUACUGACACUGAGGAACGAAAGCAUGGGUAGCGUGGAGGAUU